RNAcentral lists this ribosomal RNA (481 nucleotides) under uncultured bacterium. Its description in RNAcentral is "partial 16S ribosomal RNA". It matches the Rfam family "Bacterial small subunit ribosomal RNA", at positions 28 to 507 of the family's 1533-position model. The record is from RNAcentral.
GAUGAACGCUGGCGGCGUGCUUAACACAUGCCAGUCGAACGAAGCAUUUAGGACAGAUUACUUCGGUUUGAAGUUCUUUAUGACUGAGUGGCGGACGGGUGAGUAACGCGUGGGUAACCUGCCUUGUACUGGGGGAUAGCAGCUGGAAACGGCUGGUAAUACCGCAUAAGCGCACAAUGUUGCAUGACAUGGUGUGAAAAACUCCGGUGGUAUAAGAUGGACCCGCGUCUGAUUAGCUAGUUGGUGAGAUAACAGCCCACCAAGGCGACGAUCAGUAGCCGGGCUGGGAGGGUGGCCCGACACAAUGGGGCUGGGACCCCGCCCCGAAUCCUACGGGAGGGAGGAAUGGGGGAUAAUGCAAAAUUGAGGAAACGAUGAAGCAGCGACGGCGGGUUAGUGAAGGAGUUAUUCGUUAUGUAAAGCUCUAUCAGCAGGGAAGAUAGUGACGGUACCUGACGAAGAAGCUCCGGCUAAAUACGUG